Molecule: ribosomal RNA, 1024 nt
Filed under: uncultured bacterium
Lineage: Bacteria
Description: bacterial SSU rRNA
Rfam family: Bacterial small subunit ribosomal RNA
Source: RNAcentral
AUGCAGUCGAACGGCAGCAUGAUCUAGCUUGCUAGAUUGAUGGCGAGUGGCGAACGGGUGAGUAAUACAUCGGAACGUGCCCUGUAGUGGGGGAUAACUAGUCGAAAGAUUAGCUAAUACCGCAUACGACCUGAGGGUGAAAKAGGGGGACCGCAAGGCCUCAUGCUAUAGGAGCGGCCGAUGUCUGAUUAGCUAGUUGGUGGGGUAAAGGCCCACCAAGGCGACGAUCAGUAGCUGGUCUGAGAGGACGAUCAGCCACACUGGGACUGAGACACGGCCCAGACUCCUACGGGAGGCAGCAGUGGGGAAUUUUGGACAAUGGGCGAAAGCCUGAUCCAGCAAUGCCGCGUGUGUGAAGAAGGCCUUCGGGUUGUAAAGCACUUUUGUCCGGAAAGAAAUGGCUCUGGUUAAUACCUGGGGUCGAUGACGGUACCGGAAGAAUAAGGACCGGCUAACUACGUGCCAGCAGCCGCGGUAAUACGUAGGGUCCAAGCGUUAAUCGGAAUUACUGGGCGUAAAGCGUGCGCAGGCGGUUGUGCAAGACCGAUGUGAAAUCCCCGAGCUUAACUUGGGAAUUGCAUUGGUGACUGCACGGCUAGAGUGUGUCAGAGGGGGGUAGAAUUCCACGUGUAGCAGUGAAAUGCGUAGAGAUGUGGAGGAAUACCGAUGGCGAAGGCAGCCCCCUGGGAUAACACUGACGCUCAUGCACGAAAGCGUGGGGAGCAAACAGGAUUAGAUACCCUGGUAGUCCACGCCCUAAACGAUGUCAACUAGUUGUUGGGGAUUCAUUUCCUUAGUAACGUAGCUAACGCGUGAAGUUGACCGCCUGGGGAGUACGGUCGCAAGAUUAAAACUCAAAGGAAUUGACGGGGACCCGCACAAGCGGUGGAUGAUGUGGAUUAAUUCGAUGCAACGCGAAAAACCUUACCUACCCUUGACAUGCCACUAACGAAGCAGAGAUGCAUUAGUGCUCGAAAGAGAAAGUGGACACAGUGCUGCAUGGCUGUCGUCAGCUCGUGUCGUG